This 253-nucleotide ribosomal RNA is filed under the name uncultured bacterium. RNAcentral describes it as "partial 16S ribosomal RNA". It matches the Rfam family "Bacterial small subunit ribosomal RNA", at positions 524 to 776 of the family's 1533-position model. The record is from RNAcentral.
UACGAAGGGGGCUAGCGUUGCUCGGAAUUACUGGGCGUAAAGCGCACGUAGGCGGCUUUGCAAGUUAGAGGUGAAAGCCUGGAGCUCAACUCCAGAACUGCCUUUAAAACUGCAUCGCUUGAAUCCAGGAGAGGUGAGUGGAAUUCCGAGUGUAGAGGUGAAAUUCGUAGAUAUUCGGAAGAACACCAGUGGCGAAGGCGGCUCACUGGACUGGUAUUGACGCUGAGGUGCGAAAGCGUGGGGAGCAAACAGG